This is a long non-coding RNA of Lathyrus oleraceus (garden pea), 586 nucleotides long. RefSeq lists it as uncharacterized. The transcript is spliced from 2 exons. The record is from RefSeq and is a predicted model, not a curated record. NCBI's taxonomy places the organism in Eukaryota, Viridiplantae, Streptophyta, Magnoliopsida, Fabales, Fabaceae.
GGUAACCACAUGACUUUGUGCAAUAAAAGAGGCUAGGCUUCGAGUCCAAUGGAUAUCAUAGGAACAAAAAGGGAACCUCAUCCCCUUCAUGCUAGAAAAUCAAACCUACAUCUCCUUCUGUCCAAAAUCAUCGCUCCGACCAUAAUCAAACCUCCGCCGCGCGCCGAAGCUCAUCACCGGCGGCGACAAAGCUUAAUCCACAACAGAAAUCACGAGUUCUCACUCGCUUCCCGCUUCUCCUUUCGAAUCUCCACUAAAAAAGAAAACACCAAUUGGUUCGAAUGGAAACAUGAUUGAUACUUCUGAAGGUGUCUCUCAGGAAAAUAAAACACUGCAAUUUGAGGUCUAUGUUGAGGUGGUGUGAUGGACUUUGGGACACAAAUCACACUAUGAGGCAUAAUGGCUCUGCAUUUCCUUAUAAUUUUUUUUCUUUUUCCGCAACUGUACUACUGCUGCUUGUUCCCUCUUGUUGUUGCUUUUUCCUGUACUUUAUUUUGAAUCACAUUGCCUUGUUCUUGGACUAUAAUGGGCAUUUGCAUUGUAACUUGUAAUGGGCCAAUAAAAUGUAAUUUGUGUGGUUUUUUCA